This 301-nucleotide ribosomal RNA is filed under the name uncultured bacterium. RNAcentral describes it as "partial 16S ribosomal RNA". It matches the Rfam family "Bacterial small subunit ribosomal RNA", at positions 509 to 809 of the family's 1533-position model. The record is from RNAcentral.
CAGCAGCCGCGGUAAUACGGAGGGUGCAAGCGUUAAUCGGAAUUACUGGGCGUAAAGCGCACGCAGGCGGUUUGUUAAGUCAGAUGUGAAAUCCCAGAGCUUAACUUGGGAACUGCAUUUGAAACUGGCAAGCUAGAGUCUUGUAGAGGGGGGUAGAAUUCCAGGUGUAGCGGUGAAAUGCGUAGAGAUCUGGAGGAAUACCGGUGGCGAAGGCGGCCCCCUGGACAAAGACUGACGCUCAGGUGCGAAAGCGUGGGGAGCAAACAGGAUUAGAGACCUCUGUAGUCCCUGUCUCUUAUAA